RNAcentral lists this ribosomal RNA (496 nucleotides) under uncultured bacterium. RNAcentral describes it as "partial 16S ribosomal RNA". It matches the Rfam family "Bacterial small subunit ribosomal RNA", at positions 28 to 506 of the family's 1533-position model. The record is from RNAcentral.
GAUGAACGCUGGCGGCGUGCCUAAUACAUGCAAGUCGAGCGAACAGACGAGGAGCUUGCUCCUCUGACGUUAGCGGCGGACGGGUGAGUAACACGUGGAUAACCUACCUAUAAGACUGGGAUAACUUCGGGAAACCGGAGCUAAUACCGGAUAAUAUAUUGAACCGCAUGGUUCAAUAGUGAAAGACGGUUUUGCUGUCACUUAUAGAUGGAUCCGCGCCGCAUUAGCUAGUUGGUAAGGUAACGGCUUACCAAGGCAACGAUGCGUAGCCGACCUGAGAGGGUGAUCGGCCACCCUGGAACUGAGACACGGUCCAGACUCCUACGGGAGGCAGCAGUAGGGAAUCUUCCGCAAUGGGCGAAAGCCUGACGGAGCAACGCCGCGUGAGUGAUGAAGGUCUUCGGAUCGUAAAACUCUGUUAUUAGGGAAGAACAAAUGUGUAAGUAACUAUGCACGUCUUGACGGUACCUAAGCAGAAAGCCCCGGCUAACUACGU